This 346-nucleotide ribosomal RNA is filed under the name uncultured eukaryote. RNAcentral describes it as "partial 18S ribosomal RNA". It matches the Rfam family "Eukaryotic small subunit ribosomal RNA", at positions 594 to 945 of the family's 1831-position model. The record is from RNAcentral.
AUAGCGUAUAUUAAAGUUGUUGCAGUUAAAAAGCUCGUAGUUGAACUUCAGGCCUUGGCUGGCGGUCCGCCUCACGGCGUGUACUGUCGGCUGGGGCCUUCCCUCUUGGUGAACCCUCAUGCCCUUUAUUGGGUGUGGGGGGGAACCAGGACUUUUACUUUGAAAAAAUUAGAGUGUUCAAAGCAGGCCUAUGCCCGAAUACAUUAGCAUGGAAUAAUAAAAUAGGACGUGCGGUUCUAUUUUGUUGGUUUCUAGGAUCGCCGUAAUGAUUAAUAGGGAUAGUUGGGGGCAUUAGUAUUCAGUUGCUAGAGGUGAAAUUCUUGGAUUUACUGAAGACUAACUACUG